AAAUAAGAAGCAAUUAUUUGCAUUUAGUUUCGACCUAAAAAUUGAUUUUUAAUCCUUAUUUU
RNAcentral lists this transfer RNA (62 nucleotides) under Calomicrus suturalis. Its description in RNAcentral is "tRNA-Arg". Lineage: Eukaryota; Metazoa; Arthropoda; Insecta; Coleoptera; Chrysomelidae. The record is from RNAcentral.